UGGGAUGUAGCUCAGUGGUAGAGCACUUGCCUACCAUCUGUAAGGCCCUGGGUUUGAUUUCCAACAUCACAA
Ictidomys tridecemlineatus (thirteen-lined ground squirrel) is the source of this 72-nucleotide non-coding RNA. Lineage: Eukaryota; Metazoa; Chordata; Mammalia; Rodentia; Sciuridae. The record is from Rfam.